GAUGAACGCUGGCGGCGUGCCUAAUACAUGCAAGUCGAGCGAACAGACGAGGAGCUUGCUCCUCUGACGUUAGCGGCGGACGGGUGAGUAACACGUGGAUAACCUACCUAUAAGACUGGGAUAACUUCGGGAAACCGGAGCUAAUACCGGAUAAUAUAUUGAACCGCAUGGUUCAAUAGUGAAAGACGGUUUUGCUGUCACUUAUAGAUGGAUCCGCGCCGCAUUAGCUAGUUGGUAAGGUAACGGCUUACCAAGGCAACGAUGCGUAGCCGACCUGAGAGGGUGAUCGGCCACACUGGAACUGAGACACGGUCCAGACUCCUACGGGAGGCAGCAGUAGGGAAUCUUCCGCAAUGGGCGAAAGCCUGACGGAGCAACGCCGCGUGAGUGAUGAAGGUCUGCGGAUCGUAAAACGCUGUUAUUAGGGAAGAACAAAUGUGUAAGUAACUAUGCACGUCUUGACGGUACCUAAGCAGAAAGCCACGGCUAACUACGU
Molecule: ribosomal RNA, 496 nt
Filed under: uncultured bacterium
Lineage: Bacteria
Description: partial 16S ribosomal RNA
Rfam family: Bacterial small subunit ribosomal RNA
Source: RNAcentral